AGCUUUGCACAGUGGCAGUAUCGUAGCCAAUGAGGUUUAUCCGAGGCGCAACUAUUGCUAAUUGAAAAAAAAAAGAAUAGAAUCAAAACGUUUAUUUAUACUUUGCAGGUGAAAAUGUAAAAACAAUGUCUUCCCUUUGGAA
Molecule: small nuclear RNA, 142 nt
Organism: Suncus etruscus (white-toothed pygmy shrew)
Lineage: Eukaryota; Metazoa; Chordata; Mammalia; Eulipotyphla; Soricidae
Product: U4 spliceosomal RNA
Exons: 1
Source: RefSeq, a predicted model, not a curated record